This 486-nucleotide ribosomal RNA is filed under the name uncultured bacterium. RNAcentral describes it as "partial 16S ribosomal RNA". It matches the Rfam family "Bacterial small subunit ribosomal RNA", at positions 28 to 507 of the family's 1533-position model. The record is from RNAcentral.
GAUGAACGCUGGCGGCGUGCCUAAUACAUGCAAGUCGAACGCUGGAGAUCUAGCUUGCUAGCUCGAAGGAGUGGCGAACGGGUGAGUAAUACAUAAGCAACCUACCCACGAAGACUGGGAUAAUCUCUGGAAACGGGGACUAAUACCGGAUAGGUAAUCGGAAGGCAUCUUCUGGUUAUUAAAGGUUAAAAACACUGGUGGAUGGGCUUAUGGCGCAUUAGUUAGUUGGUGAGGUAACGGCCCACCAAGACGAUGAUGCGUAGCCGGCCUGAGAGGGUGAACGGCCACAUUGGGACUGAGACACGGCCCAGACGCCUACGGGAGGCAGCAGUAGGGAAUUGUCGGCAAUGGGGGCAACCCUGACCGAGCAACGCCGCGUGAGUGAAGACGGCCUUCGGGGUGUAAAGCUCUGUUGUAAGGGAAGAACGGUAGAUAGAGAAUAUCUAAGUGACGGUACCUGACCAGAAAGCCACGGCUAACUACGUG